AGUCACCUGGGGUAUUGGCCAGCUGAAAAUGUUCUUGAGCCGAUAUUCAAUACCCCGGAGGCGCUGGCAAGAUGUGGUUGUGCAUGUCCGCUCGACGGAAAGCCUGAAAGCAUCGCUGGCGCCACCACCUGGACCUGUGGGUUCAGGACUAUUUCGGCAGCGGUACCUUGGGUGGCUU
This is a non-coding RNA of Pseudohongiella spirulinae, 178 nucleotides long. It matches the Rfam family "6S / SsrS RNA". From Rfam's summary of the family: E. coli 6S RNA was the first non coding RNA to be sequenced, but its function was unknown until recently. The record is from Rfam. Lineage: Bacteria; Pseudomonadati; Pseudomonadota; Gammaproteobacteria; Pseudomonadales; Pseudohongiellaceae.